AAAGGGGGCUUUAAUUGGAUCUAGAGGCAUCCAUGAACCACUUGGAAUAAGCAUGCCAAGCCACUCCUUGAGCACAAGGAGCAUCUCCACAAAUUAUGGUAUAUGAAGAUUUCUCCAUUGAUGGAGCUUGUAUCCAAGCAAGCUCUAUACGAUGUCGAUGUUAGCUCAAUUAGUCCACGGGGUAUGGCUGACCUCUCAAACUAAGGCUUUUUGCUU
RNAcentral lists this long non-coding RNA (216 nucleotides) under Elaeis guineensis (African oil palm). RNAcentral describes it as "long non-coding RNA (EGUI_LNC063498)". The record is from RNAcentral. Lineage: Eukaryota; Viridiplantae; Streptophyta; Magnoliopsida; Arecales; Arecaceae.